GUGGGGAAUCUUAGACAAUGGGGGCAACCCUGAUCUAGCCAUGCCGCGUGAGUGAUGAAGGCCUUAGGGUUGUAAAGCUCUUUCAGUGGGGAAGAUAAUGACGGUACCCACAGAAGAAGCCCCGGCUAACUCCGUGCCAGCAGCCGCGGUAAUACGGAGGGGGCUAGCGUUGUUCGGAAUUACUGGGCGUAAAGCGCACGUAGGCGGAGCGGAAAGUUGGGGGUGAAAUCCCAGGGCUCAACCCUGGAACUGCCUUCAAAACUAUCGGUCUGGAGUCCGAGAGAGGUGAGUGGAAUUCCGAGUGUAGAGGUGAAAUUCGUAGAUAUUCGGAGGAACACCAGUGGCGAAGGCGGCUCACUGGCUCGAUACUGACGCUGAGGUGCGAAAGCGUGGGGAGCAAACAGGAUUAGAUACCCCGGUAGUCC
Molecule: ribosomal RNA, 425 nt
Filed under: uncultured bacterium
Lineage: Bacteria
Description: partial 16S ribosomal RNA
Rfam family: Bacterial small subunit ribosomal RNA
Source: RNAcentral